GUCUAGUGUCACUGCAAAAAUACAUAAAUAUCUUGUGACCAGCAAUCCAUGGGGAUGAGGGGGUAUACAUUGAGCAAUUGUUUCCUCAAUGAAGAGAAAUACUGAAGGCAACAAAUUUGCUCCUGAUGGGAGAUGUGAAAACUGCUGCUAAUGCCAGGGCAUCUAACACCAGAUCUGUGACAACACCUCCCCCUUCAUGGAGAGAAGCAAGAAGUUUAGCAAACAUCCCAGCAGCUGAGAUCUCUGUCUUAGCAACUGAUUGGAUGAGACAAACAGAAUCCAGAAGAAACAAAGCCGCCAUGGGUCACAAAAAGUGCAGAAGCAGCAGGCACAAGAUACUCACAGAUGGGCCUACACUGUGAAGAUGAAAUCUGUGCUAUUUUUCACCCGACCCUCCAUUAGUAACUUGCUUUGUUUUACCUGCUUUCAACCAAAGCCAAAAAUAUUGUUUUAGAUUUGGGGCCUGUUCUAGCUUGGAUCCUGACAGUUCCUAAAAGCCUUUUGUUGAAUAUUUGGUCCUGGGCCUAUGGCACUAUAAAAACAAAACAACAACAACAAACAAACAAACAAAACAAAACAAAAAACAAAACAAAGCUAAACAAUACCAAAACAAACAAACCAAAAAUCAAUGGAAUUUAAACCUGAUGGGAAGUCAUGUCAGUGUGCGGGGAAGACUAUGAAAGUAUUGCAGGGAUGCUGGGCUCUCCUCUGCCUCUGCUUUCAGAUUGUAUUAGGUGAACACCAUUUCCCAUUUAGAGAUGGAGGAUUGUGUCAUAUUUCAUCACGGAGUCAAGUGCCUUGUAUGGAACUUUCCUGACGAUAAAUUAUAGGACAUGUGGGGGAAAUAAAGCUCUGCCAUGCAAUAUGCUUAAUAUUCUAAA
Molecule: long non-coding RNA, 881 nt
Filed under: Mus musculus (house mouse)
Lineage: Eukaryota; Metazoa; Chordata; Mammalia; Rodentia; Muridae
Description: predicted gene 2582 (Gm2582)
Source: RNAcentral